Molecule: ribosomal RNA, 484 nt
Filed under: uncultured bacterium
Lineage: Bacteria
Description: partial 16S ribosomal RNA
Rfam family: Bacterial small subunit ribosomal RNA
Source: RNAcentral
AUUGAACGCUGGCGGAAUGCUUUACACAUGCAAGUCGAACGGCAGCACGGGGGCAACCCUGGUGGCGAGUGGCGAACGGGUGAGUAAUUCAUCGGAACGUGCCCGGUCGUGGGGGAUAACGUAGCGAAAGUUACGCUAAUACCGCAUACGAUCUGAGGAUGAAAGCGGGGGACCUUCGGGCCUCGCGCGAUCGGAGCGGCCGAUGUCAGAUUAGGUAGUUGGUGGGGUAAAGGCCUACCAAGCCGACGAUCUGUAGCUGGUCUGAGAGGACGACCAGCCACACUGGGACUGAGACACGGCCCAGACUCCUACGGGAGGCAGCAGUGGGGAAUUUUGGACAAUGGGCGCAAGCCUGAUCCAGCCAUUCCGCGUGCAGGACGAAGGCCUUCGGGUUGUAAACUGCUUUUGUAUGGAACGAAAAGGCUCUGGCUAAUACCUGGGGCUCAUGACGGUACCGUAAGAAUAAGCACCGGCUAACUACGUG